ACAAGAUGUUACUAUUAUAUGAUUCAAAAAGGGCUAUACAAAGCUACUAUUAUAUGAUUCACAUUAAGGCAGUAUUCGAUAUUACUAUUAUAUGAUUCACAUUAAGGCAGUAUUCGAUAUUACUAUUAUAUGAUUCACAUUAAGGCAGUAUUCGAUAUUACUAUUAUAUGAUUCAAAUAAGGGCAGUAUCAGAAAUAAUAUGAUUUCUAUAAGGACAGCAUAACUAUUAGAAGUCAACUAUUACAUGUAUAUCACAAGAAAGAAACCCGGGAAGUAAGAAGUGUACAGUCACAUUUGAUAUACUCAUAUUAUACAAGCGCCAUGGAAAUACUGUGCAUUUUUUAUAAGUAUAUCACAGAGCAUUAAGAUAAUAAAAAUAUGCCAACAUCUGGUAAACAAACCUGAUUAAGUAUUUUAGUAAAUUAGUCUAAUAUUUUGUAAAAGUACAAUAAGAUACUACCCUACACACGUCGAUAUUCUGUUUCAGUAAAAGCAUAUUCGUUCAUUACGUCACUAAAAAAGGUACUACAUGAACGUUGUUGACCUAAAACAUUCGUGUUGUACAAACCCUCACCUUGUUUUUACCAAGAGUUUAGAUGGCGGCACUUCACUAGCUGUCCAAAUUGAGUGUAAAUACUCUUCGCUGUGCUGAAUAACAUACAGCUACAUUCAAGAAGAAGGAGACAGAGCAGUUCAGCUGAAACUUGAAAGUAAUGCCUACUUUGGAAGGUCAGAUCACAAAUUGUGAGUGAAAUCAGUUUUGAAAUGGACAAACAAGGUGGCAUAAAAAGAAACAUUUCCGAUUUCCAUCAAAUAAAGUUGAAGUAGACACCAUUGAUGAAGAUGAUGUCCUCCAUCGGCUCAAAAAGGUCUCUCUUGAAACUUCUGUUCUUAUAAGAAGGGUCUUAGAUACUGACAAUGCAUCAGAUGAUGAAUAACUACCACCGGUUCAUUCACGAUUGCACUUCUAUAGAUCUUUGGAUAGGUUCAUUUUUACUUUAACUAUAUUUAUUUGUAUUUAAUUCAACAAAGAUAAUUUCAGCAUUACUGAAUAUACUUAUUAGAGCAAUGUGUAUUUAAUAGUACAAGGAUUAUUCUUUUUACAGUUGCUGAUUAGUUUAUGUGAAGCAGAACAUUCUACAAUUUCAUUUGAAGAACUGAAAGAAAAAUUCAUUCUCCAGCUUUAUGCAUUUCUCCC
Limulus polyphemus (Atlantic horseshoe crab) is the source of this 1198-nucleotide long non-coding RNA. RefSeq lists it as uncharacterized. The transcript has 2 exons. NCBI's taxonomy places the organism in Eukaryota, Metazoa, Arthropoda, Merostomata, Xiphosura, Limulidae. The record is from RefSeq and is a predicted model, not a curated record.